AUGGAUAUCUCACUACCCCUCCUCCUAGUCGGCAUCCUCAUCCCCGUCGUCUCGUACCUGCUGGUGACGAAGCGCAGCGCCGAGGAAGGGCGGCUGAAGCUGCCGCCGGGCCCGAAGCGGGUGCCGGUGCUCGGCAACCUGCACCAACUGGGCCCUCUACCGCAUCGCAACCUGCGCGACCUGGCCGGGCGGCACGGCUCCGUCAUGCUACUCCGCCUCGGCGCGGUGACGACGGUGGUGGUCUCGUCCGCGGCUGCGGCGCGCGACGUCAUGAAGGCCCACGACGCCGACUGUUGCAGCCGCCCCGCGUCGCCGGGCCCCGCGCGCCUCUCCUACGGGCGCAAGAGCGUCUCCUUCUCGCCAUACGGCGCCUACUGGCGCGACAUGCGCGGACUCUUCGCCGCGGAGCUCCUCGGCGCGCGCGGCGUCGGAGCCGCCUGGGCCGCACGGCGGGAGCAGGUGGACAGGCUCAUGGCCGCCCUGGGCGACGCUGCGGGGCCGGUGUCGUUGGACGACCACGUGUUCCGUGUCGCCGACGGCGUCAUCGCCACGGUGGCGUACGGGAGCGUGUACGGCGCGGAGGCGUUCGCGGGCAAGUACGAGCGGUUCCAGCACGUGCUACAGGAGGCCGUGGACAUGUCGGCCAGCUUCUCCGCCGAGGACUUCUUCCCCAACGCCGCCGGCCGCCUCCUCGACCGGCUCGCCGGCAUCGUCGCGCGCCGGGAGAGGAUCUUCAGAGACCUCGACGGCUUCUUCGAGGAAGUGCUGGAGCAGCAUCUAGACCCCGCGCGCCGCAGGCCGGAGAGCGGCGGCGGCGACCUGGUGGAUGCCCUCGUCAGAAUCUGCGAGGAGCACGGCUUCACGAGGGACCACGUCAAGGCUGUCCUCCUGGACGCGUUCAUCGGCGGCGUCGACACGAGCUCUGUGACGAUCCUGUGGGCGAUGUCGGAGCUGAUCCGGAAGCCGCAGGUGCUGAAGAAAGCGCAGGAGGAGAUCAGGGCCGCGGUCACCGGCAACGAGCAGCGGGUGCAGCCGGACGACCUGCCGAAGCUGACCUACCUAAAGAUGGUCGUCAAAGAGACCCUGCGGCUGCACCCGCCGAUUACGCUGCUUCUGCCGCGGGAGACGCUGCGGCGGGUGGAGAUCGGCGGCUACGACGUGCCGGCGGGGUCGCGGGUGCUCGUGAACGCGUGGGCCAUCGGGAGGGACCCCGCGAGCUGGGGGCAGGACGCGGAGGAGUUCGAGCCGGAGAGGUUCGAGGCCGGCGGGAGGCACGGCAAGGUGGACUUCCGCGGCGCUCACUUGGAGCUGAUGCCGUUCGGCGCCGGCCGGCGAAUGUGCCCCGCACUGGCCAUGGGGGUGGCGAACGUGGAGUUCACGUUGGCCAACAUGCUGUACGGCUUCGAGUGGGAGCUGCCGGAGGGGACGUUGGCCGAGAAGGUGAGCAUGGAGGAGGCCGGUAGGCUGACCUUCCACCGCAAGACGCCGCUGGUGCUCGUGCCUACCCCAUACGUAGUGUGA
Molecule: ribosomal RNA, 1521 nt
Filed under: Triticum aestivum (bread wheat)
Lineage: Eukaryota; Viridiplantae; Streptophyta; Magnoliopsida; Poales; Poaceae
Description: partial small subunit ribosomal RNA
Source: RNAcentral